Octopus bimaculoides (California two-spot octopus) is the source of this 522-nucleotide long non-coding RNA. Lineage: Eukaryota; Metazoa; Mollusca; Cephalopoda; Octopoda; Octopodidae. The record is from RefSeq and is a predicted model, not a curated record.
ACUACGGCUACCGCUACUGCUGCUGAUGCCUUUGCUGCUGCCGCAGAAGAAGGAAGUUGGAGUCUGAUGGAUACAAAAUUAGUUGACCUGGGCAGAAUUUGAACCUAGAACAAAAGAAAUCGCAACUGUCUCCAUUUGACUGCGGCCAUACUGGAGCACCGCCUUUAAUCGAACAAUUCGACCCGAGGACUAAGCCUAGCCUAGUACUUAUUCUAUCGGUCUUUCCUGCCGAACCACUAAGUUACGGGGACGUAAACACACCAACAUCGAUUGUCAAGCGAUGGUGGGGAGGCAAACAAAAACAUACAAACAUAUAUAAAUGUUUAUAUACGUCGAGCUUCUUUCUGUUUCCGUCCACCAAAUCCACUCGAGGCUACAGUAGAAGGUACUUGCCCAAGAUGCCACUUAGUGGGACUGAACCCGGAAUUAUGUGGUUGGUAAGCAAACUACUUACCACACAGCUACUCCUGCGCAUAUAUAUAUAUGUGUGUGUGUGUGUGUGUGUGUGUGUGUGUAUGUGUG